GGAUAUUUUCGGUUACCCAAAA
RNAcentral lists this small nuclear RNA (22 nucleotides) under Arabidopsis thaliana (thale cress). Its description in RNAcentral is "snRNA_10182". Lineage: Eukaryota; Viridiplantae; Streptophyta; Magnoliopsida; Brassicales; Brassicaceae. The record is from RNAcentral.